CCCGCGUUAACUUCGUGGCGGCAGCCGCGGUUUUACGUAAGGGGGCGUAGAAUAGCUCGCGAAUACUGGGUUUAAAGGGAGAGUAGAUAUGAUGGCUCGUCAGAGGUGAAAUCUCAGGGCUCAACCGACGAAGUGUAUUAAGAGGGGAGAUGUAGAGUGUGAGAGAGAGUAUAUGGAACUCGGAUAUGAACAGGAGCAACUCGGAGAUAGUCGGAAGAACACCACGAUAGAAGGCUCCAUAUUGCGAUCAUUUGGGGCGCAAACAGGUGAAAUAUGUGGGGAGCUUACACGAUUAGAUACCAUGAGUAGUACACGCCGUAAACGAUGCUCUUUAGUGGUGCGGCUGCAUGCAGUUCCAUUCCGCAGGGGGAGCACUAUGCCAUCAUUAAAAGGAAUACGAUUGCAAGGGGGAAAGUACAAGGAAUUGACGGGGUGGUGCACAAGGGGGGGAGCAGGAGGUCUAAUUCGAAGCAACGCGCAGAACCUUAUCCCAUUUGGGCCUGCCUGGACCUCCCCGGGGAUGGGGCUCUGCUUUCGCGGGGUAGUACUCAGGUGCUGCAUGGAGAUGGUCAGAUAAGGUCGGGAGAGAGUGCAUUAAGUCCCGCAACGAGCCCGCACCUAGCCAGUAUUUGCCAUCAGAUAGUCAGGAAUUAUAAUGAGGAAGCCGGGAUAAUUCGAGGAAGCAUGGGCUGACCUCAAGUGGUCACGCCCCUUACACAGUGGGGUACACAGGGACACAAUGGCGGGGGGGUAGACCUAAUCCUUAAAAGUCGUCUCAGUUCGGAUUGCACUCUGCAACUCGAGGGCAUGAAGUUGGAAUCGCUAGUAAUCGCGGAUCAGCAGCCGCCGGAAUGCGCUUGGGU
Molecule: ribosomal RNA, 863 nt
Filed under: bacterium
Lineage: Bacteria
Description: bacterial SSU rRNA
Rfam family: Bacterial small subunit ribosomal RNA
Source: RNAcentral